RNAcentral lists this long non-coding RNA (1972 nucleotides) under Homo sapiens (human). Its description in RNAcentral is "non-protein coding lnc-EXOC8-1:1". The stretch from base 319 to 467 matches the Rfam family "Metazoan signal recognition particle RNA". The record is from RNAcentral. Lineage: Eukaryota; Metazoa; Chordata; Mammalia; Primates; Hominidae.
UAUCUAUGGGAUGUAUUUUUAGAAAUUGCUCUGCCAAAUUACAUUUUAAAUUUAAGCAUUACCAGUUGCUCAUCAGGAGGGUUAUAUCAUUUUUAAGUUCUCUCCAACAGUAUAGGAAAAUACCUGUUUACAUGAAUGCUUAUAAACCUGUAUUCAUUCACUGUUUAAUUAAGAGUAGCCUUGCCAAGCACAGUGGCUCAAGUCUGUAAUCCCAACACUUUGGCAGGCUAAGGAGAGUGGAUUGCUUAAGCCCAGGAGUUCGAGACCAGCCUGAAUAGCAUAGGUAGACCCCCGUCUUUACAAAAAAUAGAAAAAUUAGCCGGGCGUGGUGGCGCACACCUGUAAGUCCCAGCUACUCGGGAGGCUGAGGCAGGAGGAUUGCUUGAGCCCAGGAGGUUGAGGCUGUAGUGAGCCAUGACAGCACCACUGCACUCUAGCCUGGGGGACAGAGCGAGACCCUGUCUCAAAAAAAAGUCAUCUUAUUAGUAAUAAUAUUCAUUGUUACUAAUCUUCUCUGUGAAAAAAUAGCUUCUAGGUUGUUCUCAUUUUUGUUUGUUGGUUGGUUUGUUUUUUGAGCCAGGAUCUCACUGUAUCGCCCAGGCUGGAGUGCGAUGGUGCUAUCAUGCCUCAUUGUAGCCUCAACCUCCCUGGCCUGGCCCAAGGGAUCCUCCUGCCUGGCUAAUUUUUAAAUUUUUCUAUACAUACAGGGCAGAGGUUGUGGGGGGUGGUGUUCACUUUGUUGCCCAGGUUGAUCUUGAACUCCUGGGCUCAAGCAAUCUUCCCAUCUCUACAAAAGUACAAAAAUUAGCUGGGCAUGAUGGCGGGUGCCUGUAAUCCCAGCUACUUGGGAGGCUGAGGCGGAGGCUGCAGCAAGCCGAGAUCGUGCCAUUGCACUCCAGCCUGGGCGAGACAGUGAGACUCCAUCUCAAAAAAAAAAUGUAAGUGAUGAUGUCAGAAUGCAAUUUCCCCACAAAUAAUUAGCAAAUUUUCACAACAAUUUUGAAUCAUCCUUUUCCCCCACUGAUUUGAAAUGCCACUGAUAUUUCUAUUUCUGUUCAGUACCAAGCUAUUUUGGUUAACUGUAGUUUCGAAAUUUAAUAACUGGUAGGGCUGGUCUCAUUCUUCUGUCUCAGGUUUUUCCAAAGUACUCUCAUCCCUUGGUCUGUGGGGAACCGGUCCUAGGACCUCUCUCAUAUACCAAAAUCCACAGACGCUCAAGUCCCUGGUAUAAAAUGGUAUAGAAUUCACAUAUAACCUAUGCACAUCCUCCUGUAUGUUUUAAAUCAUCUCUAGAUUACUUAGAUGAGACUAUCUAAUACUAUGUAAAUAGUUAUACUGUAUUGUUUAGGAAAUAAUGACAUUUUUAAAAGUCUGUACAUGUUCAGUACAGACACAGUCUUUUUGAAGUAUUUUUUAUCCCUCCUUUGUUGAAUCCAUGGAUGCAGAACCCAUGGAUAUGAAGGGCUGACUAUAUUCUCACAGUUAUAUUCAAGUUGUAUUUUGAAUGAUUUUAUGACAAUCUUUUACCAAAGGGCCAACUGUAUUCUCAUGUUUAUUAUUCAAGUUGUAUGACAAUUUCAUAUCAGCCCCCCAGAGAGUUGGCAUUUGGAUUGAAAUCAUACUGAGUCUCUAGAUUAAUUUAGGGAGAAGUGACAUCUUUAUAAUUUUGAAUCUUCCUAUCCAUGUAUAUGCGAGUGUUUUGUAUUUCAGUGGCAUUUUCAAAUUUUCUUCAGGUAGGUCUCUUAGUGUUUAUUCCAAAGCAUGUCAUCUGUUAAUGCUUUUGUGAAUGAAAUGUUUACCUCCAUUAUGUUUUCUGAUUGUACAUAGGAAACAUCCUGAUUUGAAUUACAAAUAUUGUAACCAGUGCCUUAUCUAAUUAUUUUAUGAAUUUUAAUAGUUUUCUGGUUGUUCUUUGGAGUUUUCAAGUGCACAAUUAUAUAAAUUGCAAAUAAAGAUCAUUUUACCUCUUCUC